Podarcis lilfordi (Lilford's wall lizard) is the source of this 810-nucleotide non-coding RNA. The record is from the annotation of a GenBank genome assembly. Lineage: Eukaryota; Metazoa; Chordata; Lepidosauria; Squamata; Lacertidae.
UGAGAAGCAUUAUUUGCUUAAACCUGAAAACGGGCUCCUCUACAGGGGCAGAGGAGCCCGUUUGCUGUGUUUUGCAUGAGCUGCUGAUCUGUGUGUGCACCUCCCGAUCUAAAGGAGGCAGUGACUCAUGGACAAAGUCCAAAAUUUGAUCCUCAGCAUCUCCAGGUAAAAGAAUCAGGUGAUGCAAAAGAUCUCUGUCUGUGACCUUGGAAAAUUUGACCAGUCAGAGUAGAUGCUCAUAGGCUGGAUGGACAAAUAUUUGAUCUGUUAUAAGGCAGUUUUCCAGCCAGAAUGCAAACAAGGAGAAAGUUCAUGGUGAGCUCCGGCACCUCUUUUUCUAGAAAAAUUGCAUGGCUGAUUGUCAUCAAAUUGCAUGGCUGGUGCUCUGUAUGAAACCCACAGAGCACCACUGCUGACAUUCUUGCUGCCCAGAGGUUGCAAUGAGCAUAUUUUGAUCCAAGAUCAAAACAAGUCACAGACAGGAGGCGGGAUGCUGUCUGAGAAAUUAAGGUUGGCUGGAGGAACAGGAUCUGCAAAGAACUUGUGAUGAUGCACUGAUGCUCAGUAUUACCAAAACAAUUUGCCAGCUGACUAAUGAUGCUUAGGAUGAAGGAAGUAUUCUCUCUGUUCCCAUUUUACACAGGAUGGACCAGGCACACCUAGAGACUAAGGCUCAGUGCUCACAAACAGCAGAUGAGCUGGUCAACGUGCUCCUGGGCUUCAGUACUUCAGCGAAGAGCAAGUGGAGGAUCUGUAUGACUUCAUUCAAAACAAUUAUUUAAAUGGUUUUCGCCUUGCCUUCUCUCUGAG